GGUCUAGUGGUGUAAUGGUUAUCACGUCUCGCUCACAUUUGCCGAGGAGGCUCGGAGUUCGAUCCUCCGCUGGAUCA
This 77-nucleotide transfer RNA is filed under the name Yarrowia sp. B02. Its description in RNAcentral is "tRNA-Val". It matches the Rfam family "tRNA". Rfam says of the family: Transfer RNA (tRNA) molecules are approximately 80 nucleotides in length. Their secondary structure includes four short double-helical elements and three loops (D, anti-codon, and T loops). Lineage: Eukaryota; Fungi; Ascomycota; Dipodascomycetes; Dipodascales. The record is from RNAcentral.